GUAUCCAAUAUAAUUUGAUAGUUUUGUAUUAUUAUUAUUAUUUUAAUUUUUAAAAGAAUUUUAAAAAAAAUAUUUUAUGUUUUUAUUAAUUUUUAUGAAUAAAUAAGGUAUAAUUAUAGCGAAUUAAGUAUUGUGAAAGAAUUAUUUAUUUAUAUAAAAAGAAAAUUUAAUUUUUUGUACCUUGUGUAUCAGGGCUUAUUAAUUAAAAUUUAUUUAUUUAAAUUUCUCGAAUUUAAAAGAGCUAUGAAAAUAUAUCUUUUAUUGUAGAAUAAAUAUUGUUAAUAUUUUUAUAGAAGUGAAAUGCUAUUCGAUUUUAAAUAUAUCUAGUUUUUUAAGAAAAAAAUUUAAUUUGAUUUUUAUUUUAUUAUUAAAUUUAGUUUUUAAUUUAAUAAUACUAAAAUUUUAUAUUACAGGGGAUGAGCUUUGUAAUAAAAUUAUAUAAUUUAUAUAACAAAUUUUAGUAAGUAGGAUUAUUAGUUUUUAUCUUUAUUAGUGUAUUAUAACUAGCUAAAAUUUUAUUAAGAUUUUUAUAUUAAUUUAUAUUUUUUAUUGAAAUAAAAGGUUUAAUUUUUGUAUUUUAGGAAUUAUGAUAAAAUUAGUAUAAAUAAUUUGUUUACUUUUAUUAUAAAUUAAAGGUUAAGUAAAGGAACUCGGCAAAUAUAUUUUUCACCUGUUUAAUAAAAACAUGGCUUUUUGAUUAUAAUUUAAGGUCUAGCCUGCCCAAUGAUGUAGAGUUAAAUGGCUGCGGUAUACUGACCGUGCAAAGGUAGCAUAAUCAUUAGUUUUUUAAUUGAAAGCUUGUAUGAAAGGUUGGAUGAGAGAAUAACUGUCUCUAUUUAAAUUUUUUAGAAUUUUAUUUUUAAGUAAAAAAGCUUAAAUUUCUAUUGAAGACGAGAAGACCCUAUAGAGUUUUAUAAUUUUUUGAAAGGGGGGGAUUUUUAGAAUCUAUAUUUUUUUCUUUUGAAAAAUUAUUUAGUUGGGGUGAUUGAAAAAUUUAAUAAACUUUUUUUUAAUUAGACCAUUGAUUUAUGAGUACAUGAUCCUUAAUUUAAAGAUUAAAAGAACAAAUUACCUUAGGGAUAACAGCGUAAUUUUUUUUUAGAGUUCAAAUCGAAAAAAAAGGUUGCGACCUCGAUGUUGGAUUAAAAUUAAUUUUUGGUGUAGAAGCUAAAAGAUUAGGUCUGUUCGACCUUUAAAAUUUUACAUGAUCUGAGUUUAAACCGGUGUGAGCCAGGUUGGUUUCUAUCUCUAUAAAAUUAAAAUAUUUUAGUACGAAAGGACCAAGUAUUUAGUUUAAAAUUUAUUUUUAGAACAAUAUUAUUAUUUUGGCAGAUUAGUGCAAUGGAUUUAGAAUCUUUAUAAGUAAUU
Molecule: ribosomal RNA, 1368 nt
Filed under: Curculio davidi
Lineage: Eukaryota; Metazoa; Arthropoda; Insecta; Coleoptera; Curculionidae
Description: large subunit ribosomal RNA
Rfam family: Archaeal large subunit ribosomal RNA (bases 1079-1237)
Source: RNAcentral